GAAGAAGAGCCUACGUAACACCUAAAAUUAGUACUCUUUGUACACAAAGAGCAGGAACAUUUGUGAAUGGAACAUUUACAGUGUAUGAGAAAACAGUGAGGAGUGAAUUCAUUUACUAUGGAAUAGAAGAUAGAACGGGGAGGAUGGAAGUGGUGGUCUACGGACUAUUUACCAAACUGUACUGUGAGCCUGGGGAUAAGCUUAGACUUGUCUGCUUUGAACUGAGCUCCAGUUUGGAUAUGUGGCAGCUGAGAUCUGUGAGGCACAGUUAUAUGCAGGUCGUCCAGGCUAGGAAGAGAGACUAUGAACCUCCCAAUCCUCAUGCAAUUAUUGAAACAGCUCAAAGAUCCCAAUCAUGGACCCUUGAACAAUGGUAAUGAUGCUGUGCUGAUAAGCUGCAAGUGCAGAAGAAUAAGCAAUGUGCAUAUGGCAUAUAGUGAAAAAACACAUGUAAAAUCCAGCUCUUGAUCCUAAGAAAUAAUAUUCCUUUAAUUUUUCCUUAUGCAUUUUAGGUUCUCUAUAUUCCAUAUUUCCAUCUGUAUGUCUCAAAAUAUGAAAGACAGAAAGAUAUAAACAUUUUGUCUAAA
Molecule: long non-coding RNA, 587 nt
Filed under: Mus musculus (house mouse)
Lineage: Eukaryota; Metazoa; Chordata; Mammalia; Rodentia; Muridae
Description: predicted gene, 64267
Source: RNAcentral